This 2843-nucleotide long non-coding RNA is filed under the name Olea europaea (common olive). RNAcentral describes it as "long non-coding RNA (OEUR_LNC001186)". Lineage: Eukaryota; Viridiplantae; Streptophyta; Magnoliopsida; Lamiales; Oleaceae. The record is from RNAcentral.
UAAAGUAAAAAGAGAAUUGUCUAACUCGUUUGAUGGAGCAAGAACCUCCAAUUUCUGAUUUGAAUCAGAGAGAAUAGUAGAAAAGGUGCUGUAUCUUUAUUUCAUUCCAUAAUAAAUAGCAGAAAAUUUUAACAAAUUCCCACAAAUAUUGGGAUAAAGACCCAACGUUCACAAGUUGGUUUUAAAGACCCAACAAUUAUGCUAGACUUAUUCAAGGAACUAAACAUUCAAAUAAAAAAAUGGAAAUUGUGAACAUAAAACUCCUAUCAAUUCCCUUCCCCUUAAAUUUCAGCCUUGUCCUCAAGGCUAAUAUCUGGGGAACUGAUUUUUAAGGAUUUCGCGAUCCUCCCAAGUUGCUUCAGCUGGAAAUGAACCUUGCCAAUGCACCAAAACUUCUUGUCUCUUACCCUUCAUUUGUCUGUCCAAAAUUGCUUGCUACAGAAGAAUUACUUUCUCUUCAACUUGAUCCAUGACAGGGAGCUGUGUUAUGACCGAUUGAUCACCAACUUUCUUCUUUAAUAGUGAAACAUGGAACACUGAAUGUAAUUUUGAGGACUCAAGCAAUUCCAACCUGUAAGCUACCUUACCAAUCCUUUGUAAUACCUUGAAAGGACCGUAGAAUUUCGCAGAGAGUUUCAGAUUCUGCCUCCUGGCUAAUGAUAGUUGUCUAUAAGGCUGAAGUUUAAGAAAUACCCAAUCACCUACCGAGAAUUCUCUUUCUCGGUGUUUUAAUCAUAUAUUCGUUUCAUUCUUGCCUGAGCCUGUUUGAUGAUGUCCCGAGCAACCUGGAUAACUUGGUCACGAUUCUUGAGCUCCUCUUCCAUUGCUGCUACUCUUGUUGUACCUGGAACAUAAGCCAAAAGUGAAGGAGGAGCCCUUCCAUAUACCACUUCAAAGCGAGUGCUUUUGACAGAUGAGUGCCAACUCGUGUUGUAGCAAAACUCUGCCCAUGUCAGCCAUUUCGUCCACUGCUUAGGUUGUGAACUUGUGAAACACCGCAAAUACAUCUCUAAUGUUCUAUUUACCACUUCAGUCUAGCCAUCUGUUUGAGGGUGGUAACUAGAACAAAAGUUGAAAUCUGUCCUUUGAAGCCGGAAUAUCUCUUGCCAAAAUAAACUGGUGAACACUAAAUCUCUAUCACAAACAAUGGAACGAGGCAUACCAUGCAACUUGAAAACAUUUUCAAAGAAUAUUCUUGCAACUCCAAUGGCUGUAUAUGGAUGAGAUAGAGCAAUAAAAUGAGCAUAUUUGGAUAAUCUAUCAACUACCACAAAAAAGGUUGUUUUACCAUUGGAAGGUUGUGAUGUUGUUUUGGGAGCACUAUGGCUCUGCACACUAGGGAAGAUUGAAUGGGAUUUCUCUAAAUUAGUAAUGAAGUUUGAAUUGUAUGGUACGAUUAUUAGUCUCCAUGGAUUGAAAAGCACGAAGGACAUGGUGGUUGAUGGCCUUGAAAUUCACAAGCUAACAUCGACGAAAGGAAUUUUACUCAAACUGACAUCUAAGGAAAAGAAAGGAGAAGCCCAGCAAGAAUUCCAUCCACAAGUGAAGGCAAUUCUGCAAAAAUUUAGCAAAAUACUUGUUGAACAACCAAUAGGAUUACCUCUCCAGCGAGCAUGUACAGCCUUGUUAGUAGAAUUAACUUUUCCUUUACCUAUUUUGGGAGUAAAGUAAAAAGAGAAUUGUCUAUCUCGUUUGAAGAAGCGAGAACCUCCAAUUUUUGAUGUGAAUCAUAGAGAAUAGCAUAAAAGGUGCUAUAUCUUUAUUUCAUUCCAUAAUAAAUAGCAGAAAAUUUCAACAAAUUCCCACAAAUAUAGGGAUAAAGACCCAACGUUCACAAAUUGAUUUUAACGACCCAACAAUUAUGCUAGACUUCUUCAAGGAACUAAACAUUCAAAUAAAAAAAUGGAAAUUUUGAACAUAAAACUCCUAUCAAACUUCCAUCCCACUGUCGGCAUCAAAUUCACCGGAAAAAACCACAAUUUCUAGUCAAAACAGCGAAUUGGGGAACACUUUUCUUGUUGGCAACUCCACUUUCGGCGACACCCAUGGUUGCUUACCACCACCGGCGGUUAGCCCUCAUCUAGACAACCCUAAACAUGGCCUAACAUCAACCCAAAAAGCCUCCGUUAGAUCUGCUAUUAUUUAGAAUUUAUUGACAGUCGAAACUCAUUUUUCGCGGAACACGCCUCUUUCAAUUCAUGCCUCAGACAGCAUCCAAUCCCCAAGUUGGCAUCAAUCAAACCAACAAGUCCAAAUGACUGUGGGCAUGAAUUUAAUUUUCCCAGCUAUCACCCCAAUUGCUCCAAUUUCUGGUUCAAAAUUCGCCCAGAAAGGUACUCACAGCAACUAUGUUCUGUCCAAAAUUGAUGGGUCUGUUUAAAUCUAUAAAUUCAUAUGGGGGGAAUACAUAAUCAGGGCCAAACAAAUAUGGGCAAUCAUAAAAUUGAUCCAAUCCAGCCAUUUAUCCGUCCAGCUUGCAAGAACAUUGAGGCUAUUCCGUCUCAAUCAAUUGAAGGGACUGUUAAUUGAGUCCACUAAUUCGAAAUGCAAAAAUUAGGAAUGAUGCUCCUGAGUUGUUGAGUGCAGAUGAAUUGAACCAGAGAUGUGAAGAUUUUGGCUUGAUGAUGGUGGUGGUGGCGGCGAUUUAUGGUGCGUUUUUUGUGAGAUGAGUGGCUGUGGCCAGUUAGUGUGGUGCUAGCGAUGGUGGGGUUUGAAGGAUAGAACAUUUUUUAUUUAUUGUUUAAAAAAAUAAAAAAAAAAUGGGGAAGAAGAUGAAGUGGCGUGGGUGGUGUGGAAAAUAAAGUUUAAAAGAUUUGGGAUUGUAGAUGUGCCAUAUAAAAAAU